Molecule: RNA transcript, 3198 nt
Organism: Mirounga angustirostris (Northern elephant seal)
Lineage: Eukaryota; Metazoa; Chordata; Mammalia; Carnivora; Phocidae
Gene name: peptidyl-prolyl cis-trans isomerase A-like
Exons: 1
Source: RefSeq, a predicted model, not a curated record
AUCCCACUUUCUCUGCCUCAUCCUCGUCCUCCUCUUCUACCUUUCUCGCUAUCCGUGCAUUGCUGUUGCUCUGCAUCCGUUGGGGUUGAGUUCAUUACACCACUUAGGUAACUUUCCUUUCUACUGGAUGCGCCAGGCAUCAGGCUCUUGUGGAGGGUCACAGACAUUUUCUCCCUUGAUAUUUUAUAUCUACUGUAGAGAGUUAGGCUCUUUUAAGAGACAGGAUCCCCUGAUCUGUUAGGAAUUGUCUUCAGAAGUGUUCUGCUUUUGGUGUUUAUUGGCCUAGGCAAUCGACACAGGAAUAAAGAAGCUUCUUGGGCUGGUGGACAGCAGGGCCCCUCCUGUGUGCCAGGUGCCCUGCAGUGGCCUCCCCGCCCAAGGGUUCGAAUCUUCGUUGUGCCUCUGUCUCCCUCUGGCAGUCUGAUGAAGACUGCAGACCCCUUGGAAGAAUACUGUUUAAAAGUGCACAAAAUAGAGGUGCCUGUUUGGCUCAGUCGGUAGAGCAUGCAACACUCGACUCAAGGUUGUGAGUUCAAGCCCCACGCUGGGUGUGUAGCCUACUUUAAAAAAAAGUGCAUAAAAUAAAGGUACAAUGUUUUAUCAAAUUGUGAUAUUCUAUCAAAAUAUUUUUGAAAAUUAUACAGUUACCUUGACAGCCAGCUCCAUCACUCCAAGAUCUGUAGACAGGAAAACAGAGAUCGCAUGUGUUCCAGCAGUGGUCUAAUGAGUGGGUCUACGAACAACUGUGCUUUUGAAACGGGAUUCCCAUUGAAAUGAUAUUUUGAGAAACCUGCAACAAUUUUAAUGUGAUACAAAAAUAAUAUGUGAUUUUGUAUUGUUCCUCAAAGCAUGAUCACUACUGUGAAUUGUUGCAUGUGGUCCUAACAGAGGAAAUAGUAAGUUUUCAUUACAGGUUAGUAAAAACAUUGACAUUUUUUUCUCACCAGAGUUUAAUAGCCCCCCUCCCAGAUAUCUAUCCAUGGGCCUCUUGGGAAUUCUUGGGCACAAGAUUAAGAACCCCUGAAAUAGAAAAUCCAAAGAAGAGGUAUAAUGAUCAGUAAUAAGCAACUUCCCCCCUAAAAUCUAUCCAUCUAUCCUCAAAGGCAACAGCAAUAAUAAUGAUUAAUCAUGAUAGUAGUAAUAGCAACCAUUUGUUGGGGUUCCUUCGAUGUAUCAGUUACUAUAGUCAUUUAUUUCACUGAAAUCUCUCAGCAGCCCUAGGAAGUGGUGUUUGUCUCCACUGUAUAGAGUUAAAGCUCAGAGAGGUUGAGUAAUAUGCCCUAGGCCCUAUCUUUAACAAGUGGGAAAACAACGAUAUGAAUCUAGGUCAGUUAACAUGAAAACCCACACUUUUCUGGCUCCUCUCUUUGGCCCCCUGUACCUCUUCUGCUACCCCUGCCUGCUCAGGUGCUGGAGUCUUGUCUCCUCCAACACUGACUCAGCCUUUCCACCCACCUGAAGGAGCCUUGGUCAGGCCCCUGGGACCCUCGGUCGUCCCAUCCCACGACUGAAAUUUGAGUGACUCAAAGCUUCCCCUAGUUUGUAAAUUCUUUAAUUGUAGACAUUGCCAUCAUCCAGAGGAAAUAGCUGAAACAAAUUACCUUCUAUCCUAGCUUACUUAUAUUUAUAGCCCACACUCUGGGUCUGUAAUAUUCCAAACCCUUCAAUUUGACUGGAAAUUCCCUCAGAGAUUGUACUAAAACAGCUUAUUAUCACCUGGCAACAUAAAAACAAUAAGAUUACUGUAGACUCUGAGUCACCUGAAUAGCACACAUGGCCUGAAGUUUAGCUAGUUCCCUCUGAGUAUGCAUUUGUCAUAGUUACCAAAUCUACAAAUAACUAGCUAAAUACAGGGAACCUCUCGAAUUAAAAUCUAAGGACAUUAAGAAAAAAAAAAAAAGAAGAAGAAGAAGAAGAAGAAGAAGGUAGCGGGAGGGGAAGAAUGAAGCGGGGGAAAUCGGAGGGGUAGACGAACCAUGAGAGACUAUGGACUCUGAAAAACAAACUGAGGGUUCUACAGGGGAGGGGGCUGGGAGGAUGGGUUGGCCUGGUGGUGGGUAUUGAGGAGGGCACAUUCUGCAUGGAGCACUGGGUGUUGUGCACAAACAAUGAAUCAUGGAACACUUCAUCUAAAACUAAUGAUGUAAUGUAUGGGGAUUAACAUAAGAAUAAAAAAAAAAAGAAAAAAAAAUCUAAGGACAUUGAUAGAGUGUGACCUUCACUACAAUUUGUUUCUGGUACAUGUGUGAGAUCUUUUUGACUUUGUUUCCUCUGGCGCUUAUCCGCAGUGGGAACAGGUAUGGGAUUUGAUGCAACUUUUCAGAAAAGCAACUAUCUAUAAGGUCUGUAUAUCCUUUUUAGCCCCCCGUGUGUGUGUGUGUGUGUGUUUAAAACUUUGCAAAGUGCUAAAGACAGCGGAGAACUUGCGUGCUCUGAGCACUGUGGAGGAAGGAUUUGGUUAUAAAGGUUCCUCCUUCCACAGGAUUAUUCCAGGAUUUCUGUGCCAGGGUGGUGACUUCCCACACCAUAAUGGCACUGGGGACAAGUCCAUCUACGGGGACAAAGUUGAUGAUGAGGAUUUCAUCCUGAAGCACACGGGUCCUGGCAUCUUGUCCGUGACAAAUGCUGGACCCAACACAAACAGUUCCCAGUUUCUCAUCUGCACGGCCAAGACAGAGUGGUUGGCUGGUUGGCAUGUGGUCUUUGGCAAGGUGAAAGAGGGCAUGAAUAUUGUGGAAGUGUGGAUGGGUUUGUGUCCAGGAAUGGCAUAACCAGCAAGAAGAUCACCAUGGCUGACUGUGGACAAAUCUAAUACAUUUGACUUAUGUGUUAUCUUAACUACCAGACCAUUCUUUCUGUAGCUCAGGAGAGCACCGCUUCACCCCCAUCUGCUCGAAAUAGCCUAUAAUCUUUGUGCUCUUGCUGCAGGUCUGUGGUUCCAUAUUUUCCUUAUUCCCCUCCAAGAGCUGGAUUGCAGAGUUAAGUUCGUGAUUAUAAAGUAAAAACUAAACAAACAAACAAACAAACAAAAAAAGGACAUUCAGUUUCCAGGAGUAAUUUUGGGAGUGGUGUUUAUACCAAGAAAAAUAACAAAAGCCUCAAUGUCCAACAAGGAACUGGUUUGAUAAAAUGUCAGCACAAUAAAAUGUUAUUUAUAUUUAUAAUACAUAUGCACUAAGGAAUAAUAUUGGUCAGAUU